CAAAGGUGCCACUGGCCAUGGAGGUUUCUGGCUGGAAAAGUAAAACCCUAAGGACCCUAUGACAAUGGCAUCUCAUUGUGGUUUUGAUUUGCAUUUCUCUGAUGAUUAGUGAUGUGGAGCAUUUUUUAUAUGUUCUCUGACUCCUUGUAUGUUUUCCUUUGAGAAUGUUUGUUCAUAUUCUUUGCCCAUUUUUUAAUGGGGUAAAUUGAUUUUUGCUUGGUGAUUUUUUUAAGUUUCUUAUAGAUUCUAAAUAUUAGCAAAGUCUAACUUUUGAUUGGUAGAAAAACCAAGAAGCUGCGCUGAAACCAGGGAUUUUAGUAGUUAGCCAUCCAAAGCAAAUAACAGUAAAUCCUGUUCAAAAGUCUGAGGAAUCACUGAGAAUUUGCAUAUUAUGGAGUCUACAGAUUUCACUGAAUCAGAUGACUGAGUUGAACUUGAGAUGUGAUCCAAAAAAGAAAGCUUCUGUAAAAUUCCUGAAAGCUCUUUGGCAGCGCAUUUCACUGUAGUGGGCAUCUACACAUCUGAGAAAAUUUUGAUAAUGGGAACAUGAAAGGGGAUGAUAGAGAAACAAUGACACUCAGCAGAAGUAAAAGCUCUUAACACCUCUCAUUUCAGCUUUAUGAAGUGAAAAGUACAAUACAUACUCCCAAGAUCAUUCUGUCCUUUACUGGUAAACGACACUUGGUGCCAAUAAAUCUAUGGAGAAAUUAUCAACUUUUGUUCCUACAUCAUACAAAAAUAUAGAUUUCCCCAUAAUGUGACAAUCGUAUUUUUUCAAAAAAAAAUUAAUGAUGCAUUGCAUGGUAGCAAUUAGACCUAGAAAAGACAACG
RNAcentral lists this long non-coding RNA (831 nucleotides) under Homo sapiens (human). RNAcentral's name for it is "HSALNT0373773". Lineage: Eukaryota; Metazoa; Chordata; Mammalia; Primates; Hominidae. The record is from RNAcentral.